Molecule: long non-coding RNA, 377 nt
Filed under: Ananas comosus (pineapple)
Lineage: Eukaryota; Viridiplantae; Streptophyta; Magnoliopsida; Poales; Bromeliaceae
Description: long non-coding RNA (ACOM_LNC007094)
Source: RNAcentral
UUUUGUUUGGUUUAGAUAAAUUUGGUUUGGGUUGUUGGAUGAUAUGGGUUUGAUAGGUUUGGAUUUUAUGCUCUUGGGCUUUGAUGGUUUUAUUUAUGGACUAGAUUGGAUUGGAUUUUAUUUGUGGACUUUAGGUUUUGGAUUUUAUUUCUGGAUUUGGGUUUUAGGUUUUAUUUGUGGACUUUGGGUCUAGGGUUCAUUUGUAGAUUUUGGAUUUUAAGUUUUAGUUGUGGAUUUUGGAUUUUGGGUUUUAUUUAUGGAUUUUGGGUUUUGGGUUUUAUCUGUGAACUUUAGGUUUUGGAUCUUAUUUGUGAACUGAAAUGGAUUAUGGGUCUUGUUUGUGAACUGAAAUGGAUUUAGGGUCUUAUGAGCUUUGG